This 497-nucleotide ribosomal RNA is filed under the name uncultured bacterium. RNAcentral's name for it is "partial 16S ribosomal RNA". It matches the Rfam family "Bacterial small subunit ribosomal RNA", at positions 28 to 507 of the family's 1533-position model. The record is from RNAcentral.
GAUGAACGCUGGCGGCGUGCCUAAUACAUGCAAGUCGAGCGAACAGAUAAGGAGCUUGCUCCUUUGAAGUUAGCGGCGGACGGGUGAGUAACACGUGGGUAACCUACCUAUAAGACUGGGAUAACUUCGGGAAACCGGAGCUAAUACCGGAUAACAUUUAGAACCGCAUGGUUCUAAAGUGAAAGAUGGUUUUGCUAUCACUUAUAGAUGGACCCGCGCCGUAUUAGCUAGUUGGUAAGGUGACGGCUUACCAAGGCGACGAUACGUAGCCGACCUGAGAGGGUGAUCGGCCACACUGGAACUGAGACACGGUCCAGACUCCUACGGGAGGCAGCAGUAGGGAAUCUUCCGCAAUGGGCGAAAGCCUGACGGAGCAACGCCGCGUGAGUGAUGAAGGGUUUCGGCUCGUAAAACUCUGUUAUUAGGGAAGAACAAAUGUGUAAGUAACUGUGCACAUCUUGACGGUACCUAAUCAGAAAGCCACGGCUAACUACGUG